Molecule: long non-coding RNA, 377 nt
Filed under: Olea europaea (common olive)
Lineage: Eukaryota; Viridiplantae; Streptophyta; Magnoliopsida; Lamiales; Oleaceae
Description: long non-coding RNA (OEUR_LNC013802)
Source: RNAcentral
GGGUCUCUUUCCAGAUAAAGGAUUCUAGACAUUUGAUCACAUCUCCACUCGUGAUCCAAAUGUCACACUCCACAUCCCCGGUACAAACCACCAUGUAUCCCUAGGCAUCUAUACUCCACCUUACCAAAAGACAUUUAACACACUGCUAAUGCAUUCUAACCCACUAUGCAUGCAAGAAAUUACACCAAGUAAUCCUAAUGUCUCAAAUUCAUGCAAAUGCACAUAUCAAACACAUUGAGAUGUAGCAGAUAAUCACGCAACAAAAUUUAGACAAUCACACACAUGCAGAAAAGGAUCACACACAAAUGCAUAUGCAGUGACUAGGUUUACACUUAAUAAACCUCACUGGGGUCAUAACUAGACCCCUCAACCAAAUU